This 369-nucleotide ribosomal RNA is filed under the name uncultured bacterium. RNAcentral's name for it is "bacterial SSU rRNA". It matches the Rfam family "Bacterial small subunit ribosomal RNA", at positions 29 to 408 of the family's 1533-position model. The record is from RNAcentral.
AGUGAACGCUGGCGGCGUGCUUAACACAUGCAAGUCGAACGAGCAAGAGCCGUAGCAAUACGGAGUUCUGCUAGUGGCAGACGGGUGAGUAAUACAUAGGAAUCUGCCUCGGAGACAGGGAUAACAGUUGGAAACGGCUGCUAAUACCUGAUAUUGCCUAAGGGUGAAAGAUUUAUCGCUCCGGGAUGAGCCUAUGUGGGAUUAGCUUGNGGUGGGGUAAUGGCCUACCAAGGCGACGAUCUCUAAUUGGUCUAAGAGGAUGACCAGUCACACUGGAACUGAGACACGGUCCAGACUCCUACGGGAGGCAGCAGUGGGGAAUAUUGGACAAUGGGCGAAAGACCUGAUCCAGCGACGCCGCGUGGAUGA